Molecule: ribosomal RNA, 460 nt
Filed under: uncultured bacterium
Lineage: Bacteria
Description: partial 16S ribosomal RNA
Rfam family: Bacterial small subunit ribosomal RNA
Source: RNAcentral
CCUACGGGAGGCAGCAGUGAGGAAUAUUGGUCAAUGGCCGAGAGGCUGAACCAGCCAAGUCGCAUGAGGGAAGACGGCCCUACGGGUUGUAAACCUCUUUUGUCGGGGAGCAAAGCGAGUCACGUGUGACUCAUUGAGAGUACCCGAAGAAAAAGCACCGGCUAACUCCGUGCCAGCAGCCGCGGUAAUACGGGGGGUGCAAGCGUUGUCCGGAAUCAUUGGGCGUAAAGAGUUCGUAGGCGGCACGUAAAGUCUGGUGUUAAAGGCAGAGGCUCAACUUCUGUACGGCACUGGAUACUUGCGAGCUAGAAUGCGGUAGAGGUAAAGGGAAUUCCUGGUGUAGCGGUGAAAUGCUUAGAUAUCAGGAGGAACAUCGGUGGCGUAAGCGCUUUACUGGGCCGUAAUUGACGCUGAGGAACGAAAGCCAGGGUAGCAAAUGGGAUUAGAUACCCGAGUAGUC